This 298-nucleotide small RNA is filed under the name Arabidopsis thaliana (thale cress). RNAcentral describes it as "ATSL260920". The record is from RNAcentral. Lineage: Eukaryota; Viridiplantae; Streptophyta; Magnoliopsida; Brassicales; Brassicaceae.
GGGUUUAUUAGGUCAAUCCGAUCGGUUUUAGUGUGGACUUCUCCUCGAAGGACCACCACACUGUCUGUCCCGAGUUUGGAAUGCUUUCCGACUAAUACCAGGAGUAGUCAGACCGCCUGCAUUUCUGACUACAGGUAAACCAAUUGGGCCAAGCUGCAAAACUGUAAUGGCAAAUUAGGUGGGACUAAAUGGAAGUUUGAUGGCAACACAAUUAAGUUGUGUAUAUGGAUUCUAGAAGAUGCCGAGAAACAUGAAUGGUCGAAACAUGUCUACACUUUAGGGGAUUUGGCUGUGUUUA